RNAcentral lists this ribosomal RNA (405 nucleotides) under uncultured bacterium. RNAcentral's name for it is "partial 16S ribosomal RNA". It matches the Rfam family "Bacterial small subunit ribosomal RNA", at positions 29 to 526 of the family's 1533-position model. The record is from RNAcentral.
AGUGAACGCUGGCGGUAGGCCUAACACAUGCAAGUCGAACGAGUGGCGGACGGGUGAGGAAUACAUCGGAAUCUACUCUGUCGUGGGGGAUAACGUAGGGAAACUUACGCUAAUACCGCAUACGAUUGAAUGAGCCGAUGUCGGAUUAGCUAGUGGGUGGGGUAAAGGCCCACCAAGGCGACGAUCCGUAGCUGGUCUGAGAGGAUGAUCAGCCACACUGGAACGGGGAAACGGUCCAGACUCCUACGGGAGGCAGCAGUGGGGAAUAUGGGAAAAGGGGGGCAGGCCUGUGCCAGCCAUACCGGGGGGGUGAGGAAGGCCUUCGGGUGGUAAAGCCUUUUUGUUGGGAGGCGUUACUAACAGAAUAAGCACCGGCUAACUUCGUGCCAGCAGCCGCGGUAAUAC